This 2164-nucleotide long non-coding RNA is filed under the name Phaseolus vulgaris (common bean). RNAcentral's name for it is "long non-coding RNA (PVUL_LNC000775)". The record is from RNAcentral. Lineage: Eukaryota; Viridiplantae; Streptophyta; Magnoliopsida; Fabales; Fabaceae.
GGCUAUCUACAUGCACUCUUAAUUGCUCCACAUUAAAUAUAUUAGCUUUAUUCACUCCCCCAACCACCUUAUGACAAACCAAGCCUUGCUCAUCUUUAGAAUUUGCUCCUCCUCCAUUACAACUAUAAAAAAGAGUUGCAUGCGCCUCACUCCUACGUGGGUUCACGUUUGGGUGUUACUCAUUAAUUAAUAUAGCUUCAUUCACUCCCCCAACCACCUUAUGACGCACCGUGCCAUGCUUAUCUUGGAGAUUCUCUACUCCACUAAUAUUGCCAUUAAUGUGAGUUGCAUGCUUCUCACUUCUACAUGGAAUCACGUUUGUGUGUUCCUCAUUUAUUAUAUUAGCUUCAUUUACUCCACCAAUAUUGCCAUUAAUGUAAGCUGCAUACUUCUCACUCCUACAUGGAACCAAUUUGAAUGCUCCUCAUUUAUUAAAUCAGCUUCAUAUACUCCCCCAACAACCAUAUGCAUUUCAUUGAAUGCUCCACCAAAAUUGCCAUAAAUGUGAGUAGCAUGCACCUCUCUCCUAAGUGAAUUCAUGUUUGGGAACUCCACAUUAAAAACAUUUAUCUUGUUCUCUAACCCAACCACUUCUUGGCACGCAAUUCCUUGCUCUUUGUGAACCUGCACUUCACCAACCUUAACAUGGCUAGCUACAUGCAGAAUACUACACCUUAAAUCCAUGUGUAAUUGUUUUGCUUUAAGCUUAGAACCGUUACUCUCCCCCCCAACCAUCUCAUGGUGAGCCCUACCAUUCUCCUCUUGAACAUUCUCUGUUAUCUCUUUAACACCAUUAAUGCAAGCCGCAUUCUUCACUCCCAUACAUUUAAUCACACCCCCAACUACCUUUGAAGAGUCUGAAGACGUUUUUCCGCACGACGCAAAGCUCACCUCACCUUGUUUCUGUAAUAAUUUACCAUCCAAGAUUCCCCCCCCCUACACACAAAGUAGCAUUUACUACUGACUUAAAGGAUCAUUUUUUGUUGGGCCACCCCAAGGAUAGGUUCUACCUACACCGCCUUACACUGAACCGUCAUCUCUUCGCCUUUCCUUCUUCCGUAUUCUUCAUCGGAGUAAGAAACCACCGAGGCCAAACGCUCCCUUCCACCAACAUCUUCCGAGUUGGCGACAGACUCCAAUACUGACUCGUCUCCCCACUUACUGAAGAAGCUUCUUAGCUUAACAUCCGACAUACUCAUCUCUUAUUGAAAAGAAACCCAACAAGAGAAGCCAUUAAUACUCACCUCCUUCUUCUCGCAAGGCGAAAUACCUACCAGAAUACUGAUCCGUAACCGAACGUACUCUAGUACUUCCCUAGCCUUAGUCGCUUGGUCCACCUCUACCGCCUUCCCGACUAGUGCCCCAACACGUUCAAAACAGUGCCAACUCCAUAGAUGUAAAUGGAUACCUCUACACUUUACCCAUGCAUACCUCUCAUUUACUGUAAAGGAAUCGUCCCAAGGCACAAUCGAACCGAACAGACCAGUGAACCGGUCCUUACCUUCUUCUAAGAGUUUUUCAAUAAGCCCUUCCUUGUCACAAGACAAUAACACAAACUCUUCCCCUAGGUACCUGAUGAGCAUAUAUUUAUUCACACUCAUUAGCCUUAUUCAUAGGUUAUUGGACUAUAAUAAUAAAUAAAUCUAUUGUUUUAAUUAAUAUUCUUAUAAUUGGGUUUAUUUGGGCCUUAACUAUUAUUAUUGUUAAUUUUGUGUUUUUAGAGUAAAUUAUCCGGAGGAAGCAUCUACCUUUGUGAAUGGGCCAAAUAUGCAAAAGUCCAAAUUGCUUCUUAAACCAAAACAGAAAACAAAUUCUGAGGAGAAGAAAGAGAAAAUAAAAUCUACAAUAUCUCAGAAACAGAAUUGGAAGCAAAUGUUCUGCAAAAUACAAGAAUUCUAGAAAGAUAGAAACUUGGAAACGGUUAACAAAAUAUAAACUACAAUAUUCUCUCAAGAUCCUUGGAGCAGAAAAGCCUAUAAAAGGACACAAGCAUCAAGGAGAAAAGGGAGAGUUUUCAUAGGGUUUUCUUAGUUUCUUUUCUUCUUUGUAAUUCUUUUGUUUUCCCUCCGCAUGGAAGGCUAAACCUUUUUGGUUGGUUCUUUUGUAAUUCCCCAUUGAGUUCUGAGGUUUUGUUCCAAUAAAAGUUUCGAUUUUUAAUUCUCUA